GAACAAAUGGAAAAGAAAUGUAGUCUAGAUUGUCAACAAUAGAUCGAUUGAUGUUUAAUAGAAAUCCGAAAUCCAAUCGAAACAACAGCUGUAGCCUUUUUCUCCUGACGCUUUACAUCAACAUAGAAGAAACGGUCGAAAUAAAAUUAGCUGUCACGCAUUGCUGUUCGGACAAGGCAGCUGACAGCUUAAAAUGUAUUUUACGCUGUUAUUACUUACAGUCAACACUAGUUAUCAAUAUAUUCAUAACAUGUCACAGGAGUUGGUCAAGAUGCCAUAUUUUCUCAUGUCUUUUCGAUAAAAGAUUGGCAUAGAUUGCAGGAACCUGAUGUUUUGGUUUAUGGUUCUCGUGGGGGCUAAUAGUUUGAACAUGGUGAUAUGUCUUUCAAAGACUGACAGUGUGG
This is a long non-coding RNA of Octopus bimaculoides (California two-spot octopus), 404 nucleotides long. Lineage: Eukaryota; Metazoa; Mollusca; Cephalopoda; Octopoda; Octopodidae. The record is from RefSeq and is a predicted model, not a curated record.